Molecule: ribosomal RNA, 2011 nt
Filed under: gut metagenome
Description: bacterial LSU rRNA
Rfam family: Bacterial large subunit ribosomal RNA
Source: RNAcentral
UCAAGCUGGAAAGAGCGCAAGGGGAAUGCCUUGGCAUCAGGAGCCGAAGAAGGACGUGACAAGCUGCGAAAAGCCUCGGGGAGGAGCAAAUAUCCAUUGAUCCGGGGAUAUCCGAAUGGGGCAACCCGGCUGGACAAUAUCCAGUCAUCCUGCGUUGAACAAAAUAGGCGUAGGAAGGGAACCGCCUGAACUGAAACAUCUAAGUAGGGCGAGGAAGAGACAUCAACCGAGAUUCCGCAAGUAGUGGCGAGCGAACGCGGAAGAGGCCAAACCGAGGGAUUUAUUCCUCGGGGUUGCGGACAGUCAUUUAGCGGAAGUUAUCUAGGAGAAGGGUCUGGGAAGGCCCGCCACAGAGGGUGAGAGCCCCGUAUCCGAAAGAGAAGGCCGUGCGACUGGAUCCAGAGUACCGCGGGACACGUGAAACCCCGUGGGAAACAGGGGGGACCACCCUCCAAGCCUAAAUACUACCUGAUGACCGAUAGAGGAGCAGUACCGUGAGGGAAAGGUGAAAAGGACCCCGGGAGGGGAGUGAAAGAGAACCUGAAACCUUGUGCUUACAAGCUGUCAAAGCACGUUAACGUGUGAUGGCGUACUUUUUGUAGAACGGUCCGGCGAGUUAUAGUAACGAGCGAGCUUAAGGCAUUCAGUGCCGGAGGCGAAGCGAGAGCGAGUCUGAAUAGGGCGUAAAGUUCGUUGCCAUAGACCCGAAACCGGGUGACCUACCCAUGAGCAGGUUGAAGUGGGGGUGAAACCCCAUGGAGGACCGAACCGACCCCCGUUGCAAUGGUGGCGGAUGACUUGUGGGUAGCGGUGAAAUUCCAAUCGAACUCGGAGAUAGCUGGUUCUCCCCGAAAUAGCUUUAGGGCUAGCGUUAUGUUAGAUUACCGGAGGUAAAGCACUGAAUGGUAGCGGGGCCGAUAAGGUUACCAACGCCUAUCAAACUAAGAAUGCCGGCUAAUUGAUGCAUAGCAGUCAGACAGUGUGAGAUAAGUUUCAUUGUCAAAAGGGAAACAGCCCAGACCUACAGCUAAGGUCCCGAAUAGAUGCUAAGUGGAAAACGAUGUGGAGUUGCGAAAACAACCAGGAUGUUGGCUUAGAAGCAGCCACUCAUUAAAAGAGUGCGUAAUAGCUCACUGGUCGAGUGACUCUGCGCGGAAAAUGUAACGGGGCUAAGCAUCUAACCGAAGCUUAGGAUUGUCGUAAGACAGUGGUAGGGGAGCGUUCCAUGUGGGGUGAAGUCGCAGCGGAAGCAGCGGUGGACUGCAUGGAAGUGAGAAUGCCGGAAUGAGUAGCGAGAAUUAUGUGGGAAUCAUAAUGGCCGAAAAUCUAAGGUUUCUUGGGGAAGGUUCGUCCGCCCAAGGUAAGCCGGGAGCUAAGGCGAGGCCGAAAGGCGUAGUCGAUGCACAUACGGUAGAAAUUCCGUAGCCACCGAACUUUAAGUCAGAGGGACACUUUUGGAUAGCGGAACCCGGGCGUUGGUUGACCCGGGCGAAAGGGAGCGAAAAUAUAGUAGCGAAGUCCGCGAUGCUGAGAGGCGAGAAAAGCUCUGAUGGAUACUAAGGUGCCCGUACCGCAAACCGACACAGGUAGAUGAGGAGAGAAUCCUAAGGCCAACGGGAGAAGGGUUGUUAAGGAACUCGGCAAGUUGACCCCGUAACUUCGGAAUAAGGGGAGCCUCGAAAGAGGCCGCAGUGAAAAGGCCCAAGCAACUGUUUACCAAAAACACAGGUCUAUGCUAAAUCGAAAGAUGACGUAUAUGGGCUGACGCCUGCCCGGUGCCGGAAGGUUAAGAGGAGAUGUCAGCGCAAGCGAAGCAUUGAAUUGAAGCCCCGGUAAACGGCGGCCGUAACUAUAACGGUCCUAAGGUAGCGAAAUUCCUUGUCAGGUAAGUUCUGACCCGCACGAAAGGCGUAAUGAUUUGGGCACUGUCUCAACAGCCCGCCCGGCGAAAUUGUAGUACUGGUGAAGAUACCAGUUACCCGCAACUAGACGGAAAGACCCCAUGGAGCUU